GGACCCCUGAGGAAGAAAUUGAGGCGCCAUAUCAGAGUCCGAAGAUGAGGAGUUGGAAAGUGAUGAUUCAUUGGCAAGUACAGAGGAUUCUGAUACUGAUGAUUAAAUGGAUGAGGUUUGCUCAGAAGAGGAAGACACUUUCGUGCAGUUACACAAUGAAAAAGAUCCAACUUUUGUUACGGUAUGAGAUUUGAAUUUAUGGUGUUUAAUGAUUUUUCAAAAAAUUUCUUUUGGCGCGAUGAAACAGAAAGAGACUUGCAGUUGAUAAUAUGGAUUGGGGUACAGUAAAGGUUUUCGGUUUCAACGGCACCCAACGCAGUGAAGAACCAACAAACUAGAGGAAAUCUUCAAGUUUUCAAUUAUCCUGACAGGUAAAAUUUAUAUUUGAUUAAUAAAACUAUGAGACAUAUGAAUUCCGAUUAGUUUCUUAUUAAUUUUUUUUUUUUUUUGUGAGAUUGUUUGUUCUUUAUUUUUUUGUCAUUUGUGUUUGUUUAGGGUUUCAAUAGUUUGUCCUUCUAUUGUGGGGGCAUAUCUUAUUUCUUCUUCUGCUUGACAAGUGCUGAAGAGGGUGCUAUUAAUUCCCCAUAUUUAUUUCUUCAACUUUGUCCGCUGGAAUCAUUCUUGCAGUUCAUUUUCAUGAAUGGUAUAGUCCUAUUAUGCCUCGAACAAGAAUUUGCAACUUUAGUCUCUGUCUUCAAUUUAUUUUUUGAGGUUCUUGAAAUAAGAGCAACAUGUUUGAUUAACAACAUGAAAUCGAAGCUUCUCAUGCAUUCCGUUACGAUCGAUUUUAACCUCUCGCUUUGAAACCGUUUACUAUAUAUCUUCCUCAAUUUUCGCCACGUUAUUGUUUGAUUUUCAUGUUGACUUAUUAAUAUUAUGAAUUUUGUUAUCUGCGUAAAUGUAUUUUUUGAAGAAUAUAUUGUUUUAAUAGGCUGGAUAAGUUAUAUAGAAUGACAAGCAUCUACCUCAUUCUGUUGGAAAAUCUUCAACUGGAAAGGUAAGCUACAUAAGAUAUAUCUUAUGAGCAUGUGUCUUACUCUCAGUGCAAUAAUAUAUACAUAGCCAUUCAAAUUUUGACUUAUGUGAACUUGAAUUUUUUCUAUCGAAACAAAAGGAAAACAAGCCCCAGAUAGGCAAUCCAGUUGAAAAAAAUUGAUGUCAUUAAGAUUUGAUUCAUUGCGGCAGCCUUUAUCAACUCUACGAGAAAACUAACAUGUGUGUAGAUACCACUAGAAGUAGCAAGAGCCUUUUUGCUUUCCCGGCUUGCUGUAAUUUCAUUUUCAUUUCAGUUUUCUUCUUGGUGGACCUCCUUCUUAUUCCUAUUAGUUAAUAGUUGAAUGUUGUAUAUUUUCAAAUACUCAAGAAAAUACUUAGGAAAACUAUUUAACUUUUUCCUUCAUUUUUUUUUCUCUGAUGGAAUCACCCUCCAUGCCCCCUUGCCAGGCAUCAGGGUCUUAGUUAUGAAAUUAAUAUAACUACAUAAGAAAUAAGAAUAUUAGCCACAACAUAAAUAUAAUGUUAAUUGGGACUUGGGACUUGGGAGGAACACAGAAAACUAACCCGUGAUAUUUUCAUAAGGUGACGUUAAUAAAGAUGGAGUUUUGGGUCACAGGGAGUUUGUAGCCAUUUUAGUCCACCUAAGAAAGAUGACAUAUAAGGAGCACCUGCAGAAGGCGUUCGAAUUUUUCGAUAAGAACCAAAAUGACUAUAUAGAGAUUGAGGAGUUAAGGGAGGCCUUACAUGAUGAGAUUGAGAACAGCAGCGAAGAAGUUAUCAAUGCUAUUAUGCAAGAUGUAGACACUGCAAAGGUCAGUGAUAUACUUUUAUACUAAACCAAGAUACUAUGGUCGUUUCUAAGACUAGACAAGGGCGAGGCUAUGAACUGGAAUAGAAGAAGACUAAGAUUGAUGGUGGAAGCGAACAUGGAAUUCUCUGGAACCAGUUUAAAUACUUAUACAUCCGAACUUUUAAAUCAAACAAGUUUUACAUAUCCUGUGAUGGUCGGUAGUUUAUGGACGGUGAGCUCAAUUGGUUGAACGUUUUUGUUUAAUUGUUAUUGAUUCUUGCAGUUUCUAUUCUUUUAAACCAGCAGUUUGUCAUUACUUAUAACCAAGUGUUCUGCUGUUUUCUUCCCAUUUGUCAUCAUCAUGUUUUCCUGUUAGUAGUUUUAGAAUACCAAACUUUUUGUAUUUGCUCACUUUUUUCCCUUCACGUUUAUUUACUUCUUGCAAAGGAAAGAUUUUCCAUUAGAGGGCAUAAGGUACAUUAAGAUUCUCUUUAUGAAUUCAUAACUUAUUCAUUUCUUCAAUAUAUAUAUUCAACAUUAUCCAAGGCUUUGUUACUUGCCCUUCUUGUGGCUUGAUAGUACAAUUUGGGUGUUAGCCAUGAGACUCACUUUUCAAUUUUAUGUCCAAAAAAGUGAUGAUGGAUUUUCCUAGAAGCCCCCCUAAAAAGUACUACUGAUCUGUAAGCUUACAUAUUUAUCUAUUUUUGCACGGAUUUGCAGUUUUACAUUUAUCGGUUCUUGUAUUUGAUGUGCACCUCUUGUAUAUGUGGUGCUUCGAUUAUGAAUUUAUUUGAAUGAGUCUUUAGAUUAAAUUUAAACUUCUUGCUAUUGUUAAACAGUCACUUGAGUCAAGUCAUUAUGCAAGUUCAAAAAAGUAUAAUGGCUCGAUGACAACUCUAGAAUUCACUGGGACGAAUCAAAUUAGCCUUUUAGCCGAGGUUUUUGCAGGGCUAUCAGCUACACAGUGCAACAUAUCUGAAGCUAAAUUGCUGAAUCACUAUGGUCGAAUUGCCUCCUUAAUUUAUGUAAAGAAAAACAAUUCGAGGGGUCCCAUUGAGGGCUCUGAUAAAAAGAUUGACAGAAUUGAAGCCCAUUUUAGGUGUGUUCAAGGGGGAUAAUGAUUGUCGAAGUUGAUAAAACAUUAGUAUUUAUGGUUGUCACACAAACAAAAAGAAGACUUCACCAAAUGAAGCUUGCGGAUCGUGAUUAUGGAAGGAAGCCAGUGGUUAGGAUUAGCAAUGAUACCACGAUUGUAUCAGUUUUGAACUGUUUGGAAAAGGGCUGCUCGGUCAUAAAUAUUCGAUGAAAAGCUCAAACUAAGAUUCUAUUUGAUGUCGUUUGCACGUUAACAAACAGUUCUACUACUUCAGGAUACAACAAAGUACUUAAUGUGGGGUAGCACACUCUUCUACAAACUGGUACACUAUUGCAGCAGUUCAUUAUGGUGGUUGAAGAAAAAAGUUUUCACUAUAUCGGGAAUAUAAGGGGAAAAAAUCUUGGGGCUGAUCUUUUUCCUGGAUUGAUGGAUGUCCAAUGUCAUUCUAAUUGUUCAAUGGUAGGAAAAUUCUAUUAUCUACCUUCGUCACACACUGGAAGCCUUGAUUUAUGGGUACAAAAUUGUCAAGAUGUAAUGAUAAUUUUUAGGUUGUCUGGAAAUUCAGACUUCCUUUCACUUGAGAUUGCAUUCAUUAAUUACUUUAUCUUCCUUUUUUUUUUCUUCCUAUUUUCAUAAGUGUAACUUCCUUAUUGAACCAGUUGACGAUUUUUUGGAAAGAAUUAUGUUAGAAUACAUCACUAUUGUUUAGC
Lycium ferocissimum is the source of this 3592-nucleotide RNA transcript. It is a transcript of the gene named ACT domain-containing protein ACR7-like, with no coding region annotated. The transcript is spliced from 3 exons. Lineage: Eukaryota; Viridiplantae; Streptophyta; Magnoliopsida; Solanales; Solanaceae. The record is from RefSeq and is a predicted model, not a curated record.